AGAAUCUUGCCCAAUGGGCGCAAGCCUGAGGCAGCCACGCCGCGUGGGGGAUGAAGGUCUUCGGAUUGUAAACUCCUUUCAGCAGUGAAGAAGCGAAAGUGACGGUAAAUGCCGAAGAAGGUCCGGCCAACUACGUGCCAGCAGCCGCGGUAAUACGUAGGGACCAAGCGUUGUCCGGAAUCAUUGGGCGUAAAGCGCACGUAGGCGGUCCGUUAAGUCGGAUGUGAAAUCCCUGGGCUCAACCCAGGAACUGCAUCCGAUACUGGCGGACUUGAGGAAGGUAGAGGAGAGUGGAAUUCCCGGUGUAGCGGUGGAAUGCGCAGAUAUCGGGAGGAACACCAGUUGCGAAGGCGGCUCUCUGGGCCUUUCCUGACGCUGAGGUGCGAAAGCGUGGGUAGCCAAC
This 403-nucleotide ribosomal RNA is filed under the name uncultured bacterium. Its description in RNAcentral is "bacterial SSU rRNA". It matches the Rfam family "Bacterial small subunit ribosomal RNA", at positions 358 to 773 of the family's 1533-position model. The record is from RNAcentral.